RNAcentral lists this ribosomal RNA (405 nucleotides) under Actinomycetes bacterium. RNAcentral describes it as "Actinobacteria bacterium partial 16S ribosomal RNA". It matches the Rfam family "Bacterial small subunit ribosomal RNA", at positions 355 to 776 of the family's 1533-position model. The record is from RNAcentral. Lineage: Bacteria; Bacillati; Actinomycetota; Actinomycetes.
UGAGGAAUAUUGCACAAUGGGCGAAAGCCUGAUGCAGCGACGCCGCGUGGAGGAUGAAGGAUUUCGGUCUGUAAACUCCUGUCAGUAGGGAAGAGAAUGGACGGUACCUACUGAGGAAGCUUCGGCUAACUACGUGCCAGCAGCCGCGGUAAGACGUAGGAAGCAAGCGUUGUCCGGAAUUACUGGGCGUAAAGAGCUCGUAGGCGGGAUCGUAAGUCUUAGAGUAAAUCUCACGGCUCAACCGUGGGGCCUUCUGAGAUACUGCGAUUCUUGAGGAUGUCAGAGGAAAGUAGAAUUCCCGGUGUAGCGGUGAAAUGCGUAGAUAUCGGGAGGAAUACCAGUGGCGAAGGCGACUUUCUGGGACAUUCCUGACGCUGAGGAGCGAAAGCGUGGGGAGCAAACGGG